GUGCCAGCCGCCGCGGUAAUUCCAGCUCCAAUAGCGUAUAUUAAAGUUGUUGUGGUUAAAAAGCUCGUAGUUGAACCUUGGGCCUGGCUGGCCGGUCCGCCUCACCGCGUGCACUGGUCCGGCCGGGCCUUUCCCUCUGUGGAACCCCAUACCCUUCACUGGGCGUGGCGGGGAAACAGGACAUUUACUUUGAAAAAAUUAGAGUGCUCCAGGCAGGCCUAUGCUCGAAUACAUUAGCAUGGAAUAAUAAAAUAGGACGCGCGGUUCUAUUUUGUUGGUUUAUAGGACCGCCGUAAUGAUUAAUAGGGACAGUCGGGGGCAUCAGUAUUCAACUGUCAGAGGUGAAAUUCUUGGAUCAGUUGAAGACUAACUACUGCGAAAGCAUUUGCCAAGGAUGUUUUCAUUAAUCAGGAACGAAAGUUAGGGGAUCGAAGACGAUCAGAUACCGUCGUAGUCUUAACCAUAAACUAUGCCGACUAGGGAUCGGACGGUGUUAUUCAUGACCCGUUCGGCACCUUACGAGAAAUCAAAGUGCUUGGGCUCCAGGGGGAGUAUGGUCGCAAGGCUGAAACUUAAAGAAAUUGACGGAAGGGCACCACCAGGGGUGGAGCCUGCGGCUUAAUUUGACUCAACACGGGGAAACUCACCAGGUCCAGACACAAUAAGGAUUGACAGAUUGAGAGCUCUUUUCUUGAUUUUGUGGGUGGUGGUGCAUGACCGUUCUUAGUUGGUGGGGUGACUGUCUGCUUAAUUGCGAUAACGAACGAGACCUUAACCUGCUAAAUAGGCC
This 790-nucleotide ribosomal RNA is filed under the name uncultured fungus. Its description in RNAcentral is "SSU rRNA". It matches the Rfam family "Eukaryotic small subunit ribosomal RNA", at positions 564 to 1361 of the family's 1831-position model. The record is from RNAcentral. Lineage: Eukaryota; Fungi.